GGGGACGUAAUGGUUUUGACAGGAUGUUCCGGUUGAAUCAGGUUGCGAGUCCGGGCGCUGUUCCCGGUUAUCAACGAGCAAAAAAAUAAGUGCUAAAUACACAGUAGAUGCCACAGAUGCAUUUGCAGCAGUAGCUGCAAGAAACGCAUUGGCUGCUUAGUUGCAGUCGGCCACUUUGCGAGCCCAGCUUGCCGGUUUGUAAGGUCAAUUAUGCAAGACGCAGUACCGUAAUGGUGGUAACGGUAUCAAGACAACUGCCAGGGGUUUAGAGUUUCCCUAAAAUAAAACCUAGGAUAUAGUUAACGGUUAUGUUAUUUUCCGGAUUGUAUCGAGAGAAAAAUAACUACACUCGUAGAAACUUGCUUUGAUCCAUUUUGGACGUGGGUUCGACUCCCACCGUCUCCACCA
This 408-nucleotide transfer-messenger RNA is filed under the name bacterium. It matches the Rfam family "transfer-messenger RNA". From Rfam's summary of the family: Bacterial tmRNA, also known as 10Sa RNA or SsrA, is named for its dual tRNA and mRNA-like properties. Its role is to liberate the mRNA from a stalled ribosome. To accomplish this part of the tmRNA is used as a reading frame that ends in a translation stop signal. The record is from RNAcentral. RNAcentral also lists the same sequence under 1 other name.